This 465-nucleotide ribosomal RNA is filed under the name Vreelandella stevensii. RNAcentral describes it as "partial 16S ribosomal RNA". It matches the Rfam family "Bacterial small subunit ribosomal RNA", at positions 338 to 795 of the family's 1533-position model. The record is from RNAcentral. Lineage: Bacteria; Pseudomonadati; Pseudomonadota; Gammaproteobacteria; Oceanospirillales; Halomonadaceae.
CCUACGGGGGGCAGCAGUGGGGAAUAUUGGACAAUGGGCGAAAGCCUGAUCCAGCCAUGCCGCGUGUGUGAAGAAGGCCUUCGGGUUGUAAAGCACUUUCAGUGGGGAAGAAAGCCUUGGGGCUAAUACCCUCGAGGAAGGACAUCACCCACAGAAGAAGCACCGGCUAACUCCGUGCCAGCAGCCGCGGUAAUACGGAGGGUGCGAGCGUUAAUCGGAAUUACUGGGCGUAAAGCGCGCGUAGGCGGUCUGAUAAGCCGGUUGUGAAAGCCCCGGGCUCAACCUGGGAACGGCAUCCGGAAAUGUCAGGCUAAAGUGCAGGAGAGGAAGGUAGAAUUCCCGGUGUAGCGGUGAAAUGCGUAGAGAUCGGGAGGAAUACCAGUGGCGAAGGCGGCCUUCUGGACUGACACUGACGCUGAGGUGCGAAAGCGUGGGUAGCAAACAGGAUUAGAUACCCUAGUAGUC